RNAcentral lists this transfer RNA (71 nucleotides) under Ornithorhynchus anatinus (platypus). It matches the Rfam family "tRNA". From Rfam's summary of the family: Transfer RNA (tRNA) molecules are approximately 80 nucleotides in length. Their secondary structure includes four short double-helical elements and three loops (D, anti-codon, and T loops). Lineage: Eukaryota; Metazoa; Chordata; Mammalia; Monotremata; Ornithorhynchidae. The record is from Rfam by way of RNAcentral.
AGCAGUGUGGCUUAAUGGAAAGAGCACAGGAUUGGGGUCAGGAGGCCCAGGUUCUAAUCCUGGCUUUUCCA